UACGUAGGUGGCUAGCGUUGUCCGGAUUUACUGGGCGUAAAGAGCGCGCAGGCGGUCGUUCAAGUCGAGUGUGAAAGCCCCCGGCUCAACUGGGGAGGGUCACUCGAUACUGAUCGACUCGAAGGCAGGAGAGGGGAGCGGAAUUCCCGGUGUAGUGGUGAAAUGCGUAGAUAUCGGGAGGAACACCAGUGGCGAAGGCGGCUUUCUGGCCUGUUCUUGACGCUGAGGCGCGAAAGCUAGGGUAGCAAACGGG
This 253-nucleotide ribosomal RNA is filed under the name uncultured bacterium. RNAcentral describes it as "partial 16S ribosomal RNA". It matches the Rfam family "Bacterial small subunit ribosomal RNA", at positions 524 to 776 of the family's 1533-position model. The record is from RNAcentral.